Long non-coding RNA from Eptesicus fuscus (big brown bat), 145 nucleotides. RefSeq lists it as uncharacterized. The transcript is spliced from 3 exons. NCBI's taxonomy places the organism in Eukaryota, Metazoa, Chordata, Mammalia, Chiroptera, Vespertilionidae. The record is from RefSeq and is a predicted model, not a curated record.
AGAUGGAGAAAUGGAGGAUAAUGGAGGUUAAAUAACUCGCCUAAGUCCAACGAGCAACAUUUGCCUGCCUUUGGAUGGAAUAUUUGAACGACUUUUGGGGUCACCUCAGUUGACUACCUGUGACUAUAUGUACCACUCCUGACCC